AGACGGGUGAGUAACAUGUGGGAAUCUGCCUUGUGGUUCAGGACAACAUUGGGAAACUGAUGCUAAUACUGGAUAAGCCCUUACGGGGAAAGUUUUAAUGCCAUAACAUGAGCCCGCACUUGAUUAGUUAGUUGGUGAGGUAAUGGCUCACCAAGACAAUGAUCAAUAGCCGAUCUGACAGGAUGAUCACCCACACUGGGACUGAGACACGGCCCACACUCCUACGGGAGGCAGCAGUGGGGAAUCUUGCACAAUGGAGGAAACUCUGAUGCAGCGAUGCCGCGUGAGUGAAGAAGGCCUUUGGGUUGUAAAGCUCUUUUGUAGGGGAAGAUAAUGACUGUACCCUAAGAAUAAGGUCCGGCUAACUUCGUGCCAGCACCCGCGGUAAUACGAAGGGACCUAGCGUAGUUCGGAAUUACUGGGCGUAAAGCGCGCGUAGGCCGUUGAGUUAGUUAAUUGUGAAAUCCCAAAGCUUAACUUUGGAACUGCAAUUAAAACUGCUCGACUAGAGUUUGAUAGAGGAAAGCGGAAUACAUACUGUAGAGGUGAAAUUCGUACAUAUUAUGUAGAACACCAGUUGCGAAAGCGGCUUUCUGGAUCAACACUGACGCUGAGGCGCGAAAGUAUGGGUAGCAAAGAGGAUUAGAUACCCUCGUAGUCCAUACCAUAAACGAUGAUUGCUAGAUGUUGGAAAUUUAUUUUCAGUAUCGCAGCUAACGCAUUAAGCAAUCCGCCUGGGGAGUACGACCGCAAGGUUAAAACUCAAAUGAAUUGACGGGGACCCGCACAAGCGGUGGAGCAUGUGGUUUAAUUCGAAGAUACGCGCAGAACCUUAC
This 836-nucleotide ribosomal RNA is filed under the name uncultured bacterium. Its description in RNAcentral is "bacterial SSU rRNA". It matches the Rfam family "Bacterial small subunit ribosomal RNA", at positions 100 to 974 of the family's 1533-position model. The record is from RNAcentral.